Molecule: ribosomal RNA, 1027 nt
Filed under: Psychrobacter nivimaris
Lineage: Bacteria; Pseudomonadati; Pseudomonadota; Gammaproteobacteria; Moraxellales; Moraxellaceae
Description: bacterial SSU rRNA
Rfam family: Bacterial small subunit ribosomal RNA
Source: RNAcentral
ACACAUGCAAGUCGAGCGGAAACGAUGGUAGCUUGCUACCAGGCGUCGAGCGGCGGACGGGUGAGUAAUACUUAGGAAUCUACCUAGUAGUGGGGGAUAGCACGGGGAAACUCGUAUUAAUACCGCAUACGACCUACGGGAGAAAGGGGGCAGUUUACUGCUCUCGCUAUUAGAUGAGCCUAAGUCGGAUUAGCUAGAUGGUGGGGUAAAGGCCUACCAUGGCGACGAUCUGUAGCUGGUCUGAGAGGAUGAUCAGCCACACCGGGACUGAGACACGGCCCGGACUCCUACGGGAGGCAGCAGUGGGGAAUAUUGGACAAUGGGGGAAACCCUGAUCCAGCCAUGCCGCGUGUGUGAAGAAGGCCUUUUGGUUGUAAAGCACUUUAAGCAGUGAAGAAGACUCUUCGGUUAAUACCCGGAGACGAUGACAUUAGCUGCAGAAUAAGCACCGGCUAACUCUGUGCCAGCAGCCGCGGUAAUACAGAGGGUGCAAGCGUUAAUCGGAAUUACUGGGCGUAAAGCGAGCGUAGGUGGCUUGAUAAGUCAGAUGUGAAAUCCCCGGGCUUAACCUGGGAACUGCAUCUGAAACUGUUAGGCUAGAGUAGGUGAGAGGGAAGUAGAAUUUCAGGUGUAGCGGUGAAAUGCGUAGAGAUCUGAAGGAAUACCGAUGGCGAAGGCAGCUUCCUGGCAUCAUACUGACACUGAGGCUCGAAAGCGUGGGUAGCAAACAGGAUUAGAUACCCUGGUAGUCCACGCCGUAAACGAUGUCUACUAGUCGUUGGGUCCCUUGAGGACUUAGUGACGCAGCUAACGCAAUAAGUAGACCGCCUGGGGAGUACGGCCGCAAGGUUAAAACUCAAAUGAAUUGACGGGGGCCCGCACAAGCGGUGGAGCAUGUGGUUUAAUUCGAUGCAACGCGAAGAACCUUACCUGGUCUUGACAUAUCUAGAAUCCUGCAGAGAUGCGGGAGUGCCUUCGGGAAUUAGAAUACAGGUGCUGCAUGGCUGUCGUCAGCUCGUGUCGUGAG